AGAAUGCUAGUUGAGCGCUUCCAGCCAACACGGGAGCGCAGCGCACAGCUCAGNAACACGUGGCCAAUCUGCCCUUGGGACCGGAACACCCCCGGGAAACUGGGGCUAAUUCUCGAUAGGUAAAGAACUCUGGAAUGAGUCUUUGCUUAAAAGACGUUUACGUUAUGCUCGUAGACGUCGCCCAAGGAUGAGGCCGCGACCGAUCAGGUUGUUGGUGAGGUAAUGGCUCACCAAGCCUUUAACCGGUGCGGGCCGUGAGAGCGGGAGCCCGGAGAUGGGCACUGAGACAAGGGCCCAGGCCCUACGGGGCGCAGCAGUCGCGAAAACUUUGCAAUACACGAAAGUGUGACAGGGCUAUCCCGAGUGCCAUCCGCUGAGGAAGGCUUUUACCCAGUCUAGAACGCUGGGGGAAUAAGGAGAGGGCAAGUCUGGUGUCAGCCGCCGCGGUAAUACCAGCUCUCCGAGUGGUGUGGAUGUUUAUUGGGCCUAAAGCAUCCGUAGCUGGCUGAGUUAGUCCCUUGUUAAAUCCACCGAAUUAAUCGUUGGAUUGCGGGGGAUACUGCUCGGCUAGGGGACGAGAGAGGCAGACGGUAUUUCCGGGGUAGGGGUGAAAUCCUAUAAUCCCGGGAAGACCACCAGUGGCGAAGGCUGUCUGCUAGAACGCGCCCGACGGUGAGGGAUGAAAGCUGGGGGAGCGAACCGGAUUAGAUACCCGGGUAGUCCCAGCUGUAAACGAUGCANGCUAGGUGUUUGGACGGCCACGUGCCGUUCUAGUGCCGCAGGGAAGCUGUUAAGCCUGCCGCCUGGGGGAGUACGAUCGCAAGAUUGAAAACUUAAAGGAAUUUGGCGGGGGA
Molecule: ribosomal RNA, 854 nt
Filed under: uncultured crenarchaeote
Lineage: Archaea; Thermoproteati; Thermoproteota
Description: bacterial SSU rRNA
Rfam family: Archaeal small subunit ribosomal RNA
Source: RNAcentral